Oxyura jamaicensis (ruddy duck) is the source of this 164-nucleotide long non-coding RNA. RefSeq lists it as uncharacterized. NCBI's taxonomy places the organism in Eukaryota, Metazoa, Chordata, Aves, Anseriformes, Anatidae. The transcript is spliced from 3 exons. The record is from RefSeq and is a predicted model, not a curated record.
AGUGAAGAGAAAAAGGCAAUUGUUCAAUUUAGCCUUUGUUUCUUGGGAAAUGAAUAGCAAUUGAAGAGUUUUCAACUGAGAAAAGCAACUUUUAAGCCCUGUAACUGUUUCAUCCUUUAAAAACUGGAGAAGAUUCAAAAGGGAAGGAGAAAUCAAGUAAGGAA